Molecule: ribosomal RNA, 389 nt
Filed under: uncultured bacterium
Lineage: Bacteria
Description: partial 16S ribosomal RNA
Rfam family: Bacterial small subunit ribosomal RNA
Source: RNAcentral
CCUACGGGAGGCAGCAGUGAGGAAUAUUGGUCAAUGGGCGGAAGCCUGAACCAGCCAAGUAGCGUGCGGGAUGAAGGCCCUACGGGUCGUAAACCGCUUUUGUACGGGGAUAACACCCUCCACGUGUGGAGGUCUGCAGGUACCGUACGAAUAAGGGCCGGCUAACUCCGUGCCAGCAGCCGCGGUAAUACGGAAGAGCCGAGCGUUAUCCGGAUUUAUUGGGCUUAAAGGGAGCGUAGGCGGGCUGUUAAGUCAGCUGUUAAAUUUGGCGGCUCAAACCGAGCACCGCAGUUGAAACUGGCAGGCUUGAGUACACUACAGGCAGGCGGAAUUCGUGGUGUAGCGGUGAAAUGCAUAGAUAUCACGAGGAACCCCGAUUGCGAAGGCAG